CACGUGUACAGCAAUCAUUGGGCCAUACGGCGCGGGCACAGCAAUCACUGGGUUAUAGGGCGUGUACACAACAAUCACUGGGUUAUAGGGCGCGUGCGUGUCAAUCAAUGGAUUAUAGGGUGCGUGCCCGUCAAUCAAUGGGUUAUUGGGCGCGUGCCCGUCAAUCAAUGGGUUAUUGGGCGCGUGCGCGUCAAUCAAUGGGUUAUAGGUCAUGUAGCGGAGCGGCAAUAUUAAAUUCCACGAUCUCCGCUGGUAAAGAAGGUAAUCCACAGUCAAGCACUGAAAAGUAAGGCAAUAUCCCAAAUCCCCCAGUAACCGUACGAGACACCGUUCUGGGAGUCAACUGAGGUUUUUAUUCACAGCAUCCAGUAUUUAUGCAAGUCCCCAUGCAAGGGGUAACACAGUAGGGGACUACAUGGGGGACUUAACAUUCUGGGCAUUUCUCCCAUCAGGCACUGCUGGACGAGAGGGAUACUCCCACUGGAAUACACCGUUAAGUGGAUUAUCCCUCCGUGCAGCAGAACCGGCAUUUCACAUUUAAAUACAUAACUUUUACACUAUUCGGUUUAUUUAAAUGAAUGGACGUUCGGUAGAUAGCUGGGGUCUGAGCGCACAUUUCGUGGGAAUACCGCUCAGAUCCCAGCUAAAAUAACCGAACGCCGCACGAAAUACACUGCCAUCAAGUUUGCCUAAAAGUACCGAACACCGAUGGGGAACCACAAUAACGAAAGACCGGAGCUCCCGAACGGCCUGGAAGUCCAGCGGUGUUCGCGCCGUCGAGUAUCCAUUUUCAGUUCCACGCGCUCGACGACCAAACACCGCUGGUGAGACAAAGGAUCCAAGAU
Molecule: non-coding RNA, 845 nt
Organism: Pelobates cultripes (western spadefoot toad)
Lineage: Eukaryota; Metazoa; Chordata; Amphibia; Anura; Pelobatidae
Source: the annotation of a GenBank genome assembly